UACGAAGGGGGCUAGCGUUGUUCGGAAUUACUGGGCGUAAAGCGCACGUAGGCGGUCGCUUAAGUCGAAAGUGAAAUCCCGGGGCUUAACUCCGGAACUGCUUUCGAAACUGAGCGGCUUGAAUGUGACAGAGGAUGAUGGAAUUCCUAGUGUAGAGGUGAAAUUCGUAGAUAUUAGGAGGAACACCAGUGGCGAAGGCGGUCAUCUGGGUCAACAUUGACGCUAAGGUGAGAAAGCGUGGGGAGCAAACAGG
RNAcentral lists this ribosomal RNA (253 nucleotides) under uncultured bacterium. RNAcentral describes it as "partial 16S ribosomal RNA". It matches the Rfam family "Bacterial small subunit ribosomal RNA", at positions 524 to 776 of the family's 1533-position model. The record is from RNAcentral.